Molecule: ribosomal RNA, 375 nt
Filed under: uncultured bacterium
Lineage: Bacteria
Description: bacterial SSU rRNA
Rfam family: Bacterial small subunit ribosomal RNA
Source: RNAcentral
GUAGGCACCAAGCGUUGUCCGGAUUUAUUGGGCGUAAAGAGCUCGUAGGCGGUUCGGUAAGUCGGGUGUGAAAACUCUGGGCUCAACCCAGAGCCGCCACCCGAUACUGCUGUGACUCGAGUGCGGUAGGGGAGCGGGGAAUUCCUGGUGUAGCGGUGAAAUGCGCAGAUAUCAGGAGGAACACCAGUGGCGAAGGCGCCGCUCUGGGCCGUGACUGACGCUGAGGAGCGAAAGCGUGGGUAGCAAACAGGAUUAGAUACCCUGGUAGUCCACGCCGUAAACGUUGGGCACUAGGUGUGGGUCUCAACCAACGAGAUCCGCGCCGUCGCUAACGCAUUAAGUGCCCCGCCUGGGGAGUACGGCCGCAAGGCUAAA